This 699-nucleotide ribosomal RNA is filed under the name Escherichia sp. RNAcentral's name for it is "partial 16S rRNA". The record is from RNAcentral. Lineage: Bacteria; Pseudomonadati; Pseudomonadota; Gammaproteobacteria; Enterobacterales; Enterobacteriaceae.
CAGGGGGCCGCCUUCGCCACCGGUAUUCCUCCAGAUCUCUACGCAUUUCACCGCUACACCUGGAAUUCUACCCCCCUCUACGAGACUCAAGCUUGCCAGUAUCAGAUGCAGUUCCCAGGUUGAGCCCGGGGAUUUCACAUCUGACUUAACAAACCGCCUGCGUGCGCUUUACGCCCAGUAAUUCCGAUUAACGCUUGCACCCUCCGUAUUACCGCGGCUGCUGGCACGGAGUUAGCCGGUGCUUCUUCUGCGGGUAACGUCAAUGAGCAAAGGUAUUAACUUUACUCCCUUCCUCCCCGCUGAAAGUACUUUACAACCCGAAGGCCUUCUUCAUACACGCGGCAUGGCUGCAUCAGGCUUGCGCCCAUUGUGCAAUAUUCCCCACUGCUGCCUCCCGUAGGAGUCUGGACCGUGUCUCAGUUCCAGUGUGGCUGGUCAUCCUCUCAGACCAGCUAGGGAUCGUCGCCUAGGUGAGCCGUUACCCCACCUACUAGCUAAUCCCAUCUGGGCACAUCCGAUGGCAAGAGGCCCGAAGGUCCCCCUCUUUGGUCUUGCGACGUUAUGCGGUAUUAGCUACCGUUUCCAGUAGUUAUCCCCCUCCAUCAGGCAGUUUCCCAGACAUUACUCACCCGUCCGCCACUCGUCAGCAAAGCAGCAAGCUGCUUCCUGUUACCGUUCGACUUGCAUGUGUUAGGCCUG